UGUGGUUCAUGACUGGCGUGAAGUCGUAACAAGGUAGCUGUAGGUGAACCUGCAGAAGGAUCA
This 63-nucleotide ribosomal RNA is filed under the name uncultured eukaryote. RNAcentral's name for it is "partial small subunit ribosomal RNA". The record is from RNAcentral.